RNAcentral lists this ribosomal RNA (497 nucleotides) under uncultured bacterium. Its description in RNAcentral is "partial 16S ribosomal RNA". It matches the Rfam family "Bacterial small subunit ribosomal RNA", at positions 28 to 507 of the family's 1533-position model. The record is from RNAcentral.
GAUGAACGCUGGCGGCGUGCCUAAUACAUUCAAGUCGAGCGAACAGAUAAGGAGCUUGCUCCUUUGACGUUAGCGGCGGACGGGUGAGUAACACGUGGGUAACCUACCUAUAAGACUGGAAUAACUCCGGGAAACCGGGGCUAAUGCCGGAUAACAUUUAGAACCGCAUGGUUCUAAAGUGAAAGAUGGUUUUGCUAUCACUUAUAGAUGGACCCGCGCCGUAUUAGCUAGUUGGUAAGGUAACGGCUUACCAAGGCAACGAUACGUAGCCGACCUGAGAGGGUGAUCGGCCACACUGGAACUGAGACACGGUCCAGACUCCUACGGGAGGCAGCAGUAGGGAAUCUUCCGCAAUGGGCGAAAGCCUGACGGAGCAACGCCGCGUGAUUGAUGAAGGUCUUCGGAUCGUAAAACUCUGUUAUUAGGGAAGAACAAAUGUGUAAGUAACUGUGCACGUCUUGACGGUACCUAAUCAGAAAGCCACGGCUAACUACGUG